UCCGCAAUGGGCGAAAGCCUGACGGAGCGACACCGCGUGGUGGGAUGAAGGCCUUAGGGUCGUAAACACCUUUUCUAGGGGAAGAAGAUCUGACGGUACCCUAGGAAUAAGCCCCGGCUAAUUACGUGCCAGCAGCCGCGGUAAUACGUAAGGGGCAAGCGUUAUCCGGACAUUAUUGGGCGUAAAGCGUCCGCAGGCGGCAUAGGAAGUCUGUCAUUAAAUACCGAGGCUCAACUUCGGUGCUGUGAUGGAAACUCUUAUGCUAGAGGAUGGGAGAGGUAUGUGGAAUUCUGCAA
RNAcentral lists this ribosomal RNA (296 nucleotides) under uncultured Microgenomates group bacterium. Its description in RNAcentral is "partial 16S ribosomal RNA". It matches the Rfam family "Bacterial small subunit ribosomal RNA", at positions 365 to 674 of the family's 1533-position model. The record is from RNAcentral.